This 449-nucleotide ribosomal RNA is filed under the name uncultured bacterium. Its description in RNAcentral is "partial 16S ribosomal RNA". It matches the Rfam family "Bacterial small subunit ribosomal RNA", at positions 354 to 796 of the family's 1533-position model. The record is from RNAcentral.
GUCGAGAAUCUUUCACAAUGGGGGCAACCCUGAUGGAGCGACGCCGCGUGGAGGAUAAGGUCUUCGGAUUGUAAACUCCUGUCAUGCGUGAACAAGGUUGCUUGGUUAAUACCUGGGCAAAUUGAUGGUAACGCAAGAGGAAGAGACGGCUAACUCUGUGCCAGCAGCCGCGGUAAUACAGAGGUCUCAAGCGUUGUUCGGAAUCACUGGGCGUAAAGGGUGCGUAGGUGGCGUGGUAAGUCAGAUGUGAAAGCCCGGGGGUCAACCUCGGAACUGCAUCCGAUACUGCCAUGCUAGAGUACUGGAGAGGUGACUAGAAUUCUCGGUGUAGCAGUGAAAUGCGUAGAUAUCGAGAGGAAUACCAAAGGCGUAGGCAGGUCACUGGACAGUUACUGACACUGAGGCACGAAGGCCAGGGGAGCGAACGGGAUUAGAUACCCCGGUAGUCC